Molecule: long non-coding RNA, 650 nt
Organism: Mytilus californianus (California mussel)
Lineage: Eukaryota; Metazoa; Mollusca; Bivalvia; Mytilida; Mytilidae
Exons: 2
Source: RefSeq, a predicted model, not a curated record
UUAUAUACCGUGGGAUAAUGCAAACUGUUCUCUGGUCAUUUAAAGAUGAUUUCUUAUCACCAAUGUCAAAGUGACCUCUCUAUUAUCUAUUGGACAUUUACUUAUACAACAUUUUGACCUUAUUUCGGACAAUAACCAUAUUAGGUAAUUUCUAAUUUUAUGCUGACAAAGAAAGUCACGUUGGCAUACCAUCAAUUAAAUGAUUGCUAUAUAAGUAGAAAUUCUGCUUUGAGACGUCAAAGUUUGAAUUUCGAAACUUAUAGGUGUCAGUCGAUCCCGGCCUGCCUCUACAUCGGCAACAACGCCCGGCCUGCCUUUACAUCGGCAGCAAUGCCACACACCAUCGAAGGCAUUGUACACAGCUAGUUCCCCCCGAACAUCUAAAGCCAAGUACCAGCUCUCACAGAAGUAGUUCUUCUGUUGAGAGUCUGCCGGGAAUCAACACAACAGCUAACUUCACAACAUAACAACAUUCUAUAUAUACCAUUUACAUGGAUUCCAACAACGUCCUUCCUUUUAUUGUGUUAUAAUAAAUGCAUGUUUUAUAUUGGUAACAUCAUUGACAUGGUUCUAUCAGAGGAUGACCUAAAUUUGUUAAAAUUGAAGGAACUCUUCAUUUUUCUGAAUAUAGUUGCUACCAUAUUAUAGAA